This is a non-coding RNA of Pelobates cultripes (western spadefoot toad), 318 nucleotides long. The record is from the annotation of a GenBank genome assembly. Lineage: Eukaryota; Metazoa; Chordata; Amphibia; Anura; Pelobatidae.
CCCUGGCCUGUAAACUAACAAUUAAUCCCUUUGUUUAGUUCUCCCACCCCCCUUUUUAUAGAGUGUGCACAGUUGUUAUUUUCACUUUAUUCAUAUACAAUUGAUAUCACAGGAUAUAGACCUUCUGAGUAGGCAACAGUGUACCACAGAGAUAACCUCAGGCUUUUGAAGGCUGUAUAUUACCCCACGUGCCUUAAUAAGCUACAGCUAAUUGCAUUACAAUAUUAAGCAUACAGGCUCCAUAUUAGGACCCUCAAGGCAAAGAUCGGUCUAAGCGAGAGAGGGUCCCUCAAACAAUUAACUAAAAAUUAGUUGAUG